Molecule: ribosomal RNA, 1393 nt
Filed under: metagenome
Description: bacterial LSU rRNA
Rfam family: Bacterial large subunit ribosomal RNA
Source: RNAcentral
AGUACUGUGAAGGAAAGGUGAAAAGCACUUCGAAUAGAAGGGUGAAAGAGAACCUGAAACCAUACGCCUACAAGCGGUCGGAGCACCAAUAUGGUGUGACGGCGUGCCUUUUGCAUAAUGAGCCUACGAGUUAAUUGUACUAGCGAGGUUAAGAUAUUAAGUAUCGGAGCCGUAGGGAAACCGAGUCUGAAUAGGGCGAAUAGUUAGUAUGAUUAGACGCGAAACCUUGUGAUCUACCCAUGGGCAGGUUGAAGCUUUGGUAACACAAAGUGGAGGACCGAACCGGUUGACGUUGAAAAGUCUUCGGAUGACCUGUGGGUAGGGGUGAAAGGCCAAUCAAACUGGGAGAUAGCUCGUACUCUCCGAAAUGCAUUUAGGUGCAGCGUCAAUGAUAAGUUUAUUAGAGGUAGAGCUACUGAUUGGAUGCGGGGGUUUCAUCGCCUACCAAUUCCUGACAAACUCCGAAUGCUAAUAAAUGUUCGUUGGCAGUGAGGGCAUGGGUGCUAAGGUCCAUGUCCGAGAGGGAAAGAACCCAGACCAACAGUUAAGGUCCCCAAAUAUAUGCUAAGUUGAAGCAACGCGGUUGAACUGCCUAGACAGCUAGGAUGUUGGCUUGGAAGCAGCCAUUCAUUUAAAGAGUGCGUAACAGCUCACUAGUCGAGCGGUUCGGCAUGGAUAAUAAUCGGGCAUAAGCAUAUUACCGAAGCUAUGGAUUUGUACGUAAGUACAAUUGGUAGGAGAGCAUUCUAUCGGCGUAGAAGCUGAGUCGUGAGGCUUGGUGGAGCUUAUAGAAAAGAAAAUGUAGGCAUAAGUAACGAUAAAGCGGGCGAGAAACCCGCUCACCGAAAGACUAAGGUUUCCUCAGCCAUGCUAAUCAGCUGAGGGUUAGUCGGGGCCUAACGCGAACCCGAGAGGGGUAGUGGAUGGACAUAGGGUUAAUAUUCCCUAACUUGCUCACGAGGAAAGUGACGGUUCAAUGAGACUUAAGAAGACUGACGGAAUAGUUAAGACCUAGCCUACGGGCGAAGUUGAUUAAGAGCAGUUGGAUCCAAGAAAAGCGAGUGAAGCAACCCGUACCAUAAACCGACACAGGUAGUCGAGGAGAGAAUCCUAAGGUGCUCGAGUGAGUCGUGGCUAAGGAACUAGGCAAAAUAGUCUCGUAACUUCGGGAGAAGAGACGCCAACAGCGAUGUUGGCCGCAGUGAAGAGGCCCAGGCGACUGUUUAACAAAAACACAGGACUCUGCUAAAUCGAAAGAUGCUGUAUAGGGUCUGACACCUGCCCGGUGCUGGAAGGUUAAGGAAGGUGCUUAGCGUAAGCGAAGGCAUUGACUGAAGCCCCAGUAAACGGCGGCCGUAACUAUAACGGUCCUAAGGUAGCGAAAUUCCUUGUC